UGCAAGUCGAACGGCACCCCUCUCCGGAGGGAAGCGAGUGGCGAACGGCUGAGUAACACGUGGAGAACCUCGCCCCCUCCCCCGGGAUAGCCGCCCGAAAGGACGGGUAAUACCGGAUACCCCCGGGCGCCGCAUGGCGCCCGGGCUAAAGCCCCGACGGGAGGGGAUGGCUCCGCGGCCCAUCAGGUAGACGGCGGGGUGACGGCCCACCGUGCCGACAACGGGUAGCCGGGUUGAGAGACCGACCGGCCAGAUUGGGACUGAGACACGGCCCAGACUCCUACGGGAGGCAGAAUG
Molecule: ribosomal RNA, 297 nt
Filed under: uncultured bacterium
Lineage: Bacteria
Description: partial 16S ribosomal RNA
Rfam family: Bacterial small subunit ribosomal RNA
Source: RNAcentral